Non-coding RNA from Vicugna pacos (alpaca), 1138 nucleotides. Lineage: Eukaryota; Metazoa; Chordata; Mammalia; Artiodactyla; Camelidae. The record is from RefSeq and is a predicted model, not a curated record.
CGGCUUUGAGCCUUUGUAUGAAUUUUAUCCAGAAGCAGGGUUGGAUCAGACUCCCACUGAGAUGCUAUCUGACUUAAUCCUUGGCUUGGGGUUACUAGAGGAGGCAUAUUCAAAAGAAAAGAAAAGAAACUUACAAGAAACAGCUGGAGUCUGUGUCCUUGUGCAGGCUUCCAUGUAUACAUACAUAAUAGUUUAAGCCUAAGACUUUUAUGAUUCAUGUAUUUCUUGUAUGCAGGCUUCAUCUCAGCUCUUAGUGGUUUUCGGUAAUAAGCUAUUUGCUUAGCAGGGAAAAUAAGUGUUUCUCCCUAUGAUUGCCAACAUUGUACUGGUCUCUGUGCAGAGCAUAUUUCCUCUUCAAGAACUCAGGCCCUCUAAAUAGGACAGAGCAACAAGUAUUGGCAUGCAGACAGGAACAUGCCGAGAGUGCCAGCUGACUAUUCAGUUUCUUCACCAGGUACACAGAGAGACAGAAAAAAGAAACAGCACACAGGCUUGAGGGAAGCUUACAAUGGAAAACAAAUAUGAAGGACGCAGUGGAAGUUGAACGUAUUGAAAAGGAGAGAAUACUAUUGGGGGUGGCGAGGGAGCAGAUCAGCUGGAGAAAAUGAUGUUCUUGGAAACACUUUGGGUGUUGUCAAAGAAUGGCUAUGAGGGAUGGAGAGAAAGUGGCUUAGGAAGUAUCAGGAGAGUGGACCCCAGAGAGAAAACAGUAAAGGACAAGGUUAGAGGGACCAGGAGCAAACCUGAAGCUCCCCUCUUGCCAGUGGAGAGCUCUCCCUUCAAAUACCUGCAAUCCAGCCAUAAGCUACCCUCCAGUUUUGCCUGCAGGAAGGAACUCCACAUUGUCUUGCCUAAGACUCAUCAGUUGACUGCACACUAUGACUGAUCCCAGAUGGAGCAAGAGAUGUCUACAUCCCUUCUGGACUCUUUUCACCCCACGUGAGUAUCGCAUCACCAUACUGACAGGCCAUCUGUUACUUAUGUUCUCUAGUAAUGACUGUUUAUAUGUAGCUGCUUUUCGGCUUUCUUGAUACUCAGAAUAAAAUUCAGGGACCCAGGGAGAAAACCUGGGAGAACAGGAACAGGGCUAGGCUUCCAGGAGACCCCGAGGACUUAAGAAGUCAUUCCUACAUUCCAG